UACGUAGGGGGCAAGCGUUGUCCGGAAUCAUUGGGCGUAAAGAGCGUGUAGGCGGUCCGGUAAGUCGGCUGUGAAAGUCCAGGGCUCAACCCCGGGAUGCCGGUCGAUACUGCCGGACUAGAGUUCGGAAGAGGCGAGUGGAAUUCCCGGUGUAGCGGUGAAAUGCGCAGAUAUCGGGAGGAACACCUAUGGCGAAGGCAGCUCGCUGGGACGUUACUGACGCUGAGACGCGAAAGCGUGGGGAGCAAACAGG
RNAcentral lists this ribosomal RNA (253 nucleotides) under uncultured bacterium. RNAcentral's name for it is "partial 16S ribosomal RNA". It matches the Rfam family "Bacterial small subunit ribosomal RNA", at positions 524 to 776 of the family's 1533-position model. The record is from RNAcentral.